Molecule: ribosomal RNA, 253 nt
Filed under: uncultured bacterium
Lineage: Bacteria
Description: partial 16S ribosomal RNA
Rfam family: Bacterial small subunit ribosomal RNA
Source: RNAcentral
UACAGAGGGUGCGAGCGUUGUUCGGAAUUAUUGGGCGUAAAGGGCGCGUAGGCGGUGCGGUAAGUCACCUGUGAAAUCUCCUGGCUCAACUGGGAGCUUGCAGGCGAAACUGCCGUGCUGGAGUGUGGGAGGGGAGAGUGGAAUUCCUGGUGUAGCGGUGAAAUGCGUAGAUAUCAGGAGGAACACCGGUGGUGUAGACGGCUCUCUGGACCGUAACUGACGCUGAGACACGAAAGCGUGGGUAGCAAACAGG